This 390-nucleotide ribosomal RNA is filed under the name uncultured bacterium. RNAcentral describes it as "bacterial SSU rRNA". It matches the Rfam family "Bacterial small subunit ribosomal RNA", at positions 28 to 419 of the family's 1533-position model. The record is from RNAcentral.
GACGAACGCUGGCGGCGUGCUUAACACAUGCAAGUCGAGCGGUAAGGCCCUUUCGGGGGUACACGAGCGGCGAACGGGUGAGUAACACGUGGGUGACCUGCCCUCAGCUCUGGGAUAAGCCUGGGAAACCGGGUCUAAUACCGGAUAUGACCUCAUGACGCAUGUUGUGGGGUGGAAAGCCUUGUGCGGCUGAGGAUGGGCCCGCGGCCUAUCAGCUUGUUGGUGGGGUGANGGCCUACCAAGGCGACGACGGGUAGCCGGCCUGAGAGGGCGACCGGCCACACUGGGACUGAGACACGGCCCAGACUCCUACGGGAGGCAGCAGUGGGGAAUCUUGCGCAAUGGGUGAAAGCCUGACGCAGCGACGCCGCGUGAGGGAUGACGGCCUGG